GGUGAAGCCAAGCUUGCUUGGUGGAUCAGUGGCGAACGGGUGAGUAACACGUGAGCAACCUGCCCUGAACUCUGGGAUAAGCGCUGGAAACGGCGUCUAAUACUGGAUAUGAGCUGCGGAGGCAUCUUCGUGGUUGGAAAGAUUUUUCGGUUUGGGAUGGGCUCGCGGCCUAUCAGCUUGUUGGUGAGGUAAUGGCUCACCAAGGCGUCGACGGGUAGCCGGCCUGAGAGGGUGACCGGCCACACUGGGACUGAGACACGGCCCAGACUCCUACGGGAGGCAGCAGUGGGGAAUAUUGCACAAUGGGCGGAAGCCUGAUGCAGCAACGCCGCGUGAGGGAUGACGGCCUUCGGGUUGUAAACCUCUUUUAGCAGGGAAGAAGCGAAAGUGACGGUACCUGCAGAAAAAGCGCCGGCUAACUACGUGCCAGCAGCCGCGGUAAUACGUAGGGCGCAAGCGUUAUCCGGAAUUAUUGGGCGUAAAGAGCUCGUAGGCGGUUUGUCGCGUCUGCUGUGAAAACCCGAGGCUCAACCUCGGGCCUGCAGUGGGUACGGGCAGACUAGAGUGCGGUAGGGGAGAUUGGAAUUCCUGGUGUAGCGGUGGAAUGCGCAGAUAUCAGGAGGAACACCGAUGGCGAAGGCAGAUCUCUGGGCCGUAACUGACGCUGAGGAGCGAAAGGGUGGGGAGCAAACAGGCUUAGAUACCCUGGUAGUCCACCCCGUAAACGUUGGGAACUAGUUGUGGGGUCCAUUCCACGGAUUCCGUGACGCAGCUAACGCAUUAAGUUCCCCGCCUGGGGAGUACGGCCGCAAGGCUAAAACUCAAAGGAAUUGACGGGGACCCGCACAAGCGGCGGAGCAUGCGGAUUAAUUCGAUGCAACGCGAAGAACCUUACCAAGGCUUGACAUACACGAGAACGCUGCAGAAAUGUAGAACUCUUUGGACACUCGUGAACAGGUGGUGCAUGGUUGUCGUCAGCUCGUGUCGUGAGAUGUUGGGUUAAGUCCCGCAACGAGCGCAACCCUCGUUCUAUGUUGCCAGCACGUAAUGGUGGGAACUCAUGGGAUACUGCCGGGGUCAACUCGGAGGAAGGUGGGGAUGACGUCAAAUCAUCAUGCCCCUUAUGUCUUGGGCUUCACGCAUGCUACAAUGGCCGGUACAAAGGGCUGCAAUACCGCGAGGUGGAGCGAAUCCCAAAAAGCCGGUCCCAGUUCGGAUUGAGGUCUGCAACUCGACCUCAUGAAGUCGGAGUCGCUAGUAAUCGCAGAUCAGCAACGCUGCGGUGAAUACGUUCCCGGGUCUUGUACACACCGCCCGUCAAGUCAUGAAAGUCGGUAACACCUGAAGCCGGUGGCCC
Molecule: ribosomal RNA, 1357 nt
Filed under: Actinomycetes bacterium
Lineage: Bacteria; Bacillati; Actinomycetota; Actinomycetes
Description: bacterial SSU rRNA
Rfam family: Bacterial small subunit ribosomal RNA
Source: RNAcentral